CAUCUGGAGGUUCGCUGCCUCAAAAUUCUCUCAGAAAGCAAUCUCUAGGAAAGGUGGUUGUUCAGCCAAGUAUUAUAGUGACUGCUAAUCCUCCACCUCGCAAUGUGGUGUCUACUACUUCAGUUCCUCAGAAUUCUAUAGCAGCUAAGUUGGCAUGUUCUAGUGUUGCCGCUGCUAGUCCUCCACCUCGCAAUCUGGUGUCUACCACUCCAGUUCCUCGUAAUUCUAUAACAGCUAAUUUGGCAUCUUCUAGUGUCGCGGCUGCUAGUCCUCCACCUCGCAAUCUGGUGUCUACUACUCCAGUUCCUCAUAAUUCUAUAGCAGCUAAUUUGGCAUCUUCCAGUGUUGCGGCUGCUAGUCCUCCACCUCGCAAUCUAGUGUCUACUACUCCAGUUCCUCGAAAUCCUAUAGCAGCCAAUGUGGCAUCUUCUAGUGUUGCGGCUGCUAGUCCACCUCGCAAUCUGGCGUCUACUACUAAAGUUUCUCAGAAUUCUAUAGCAGCUAAUUUGGCAUCUUCUAGUGUUUCGGCUACUAGUACAGCAUCUCGUGG
RNAcentral lists this long non-coding RNA (550 nucleotides) under Oryza sativa (Asian cultivated rice). Its description in RNAcentral is "long non-coding RNA (OSAT_LNC001708)". The record is from RNAcentral. Lineage: Eukaryota; Viridiplantae; Streptophyta; Magnoliopsida; Poales; Poaceae.